ACAUGCAGUCGUACAGGUAGCCGAGUUGCUCCUCCGGAUUAGUGGCGAACGGGUGAGUAAUACGUGAGCAAUGUGCCCUUGACUCUGGGAUAAGCGCUGGAAACGGCGUCUAAUACCGGAUACGACCACCGGAGGCAUCUCCUGGUGGUGGAAAGAACUUCGGUCAAGGAUCAGCUCACGGCCUAUCAGCUAGUUGGUGAGGUAAUGGCUCACCAAGGCGACGACGGGUAGCCGGCCUGAGAGGGUGACCGGCCACACUGGGACUGAGACACGGCCCAGACUCCUACGGGAGGCAGCAGUGGGGAAUAUUGCACAAUGGGCGCAAGCCUGAUGCAGCAACGCCGCGUGAGGGACGAAGGCCUUCGGGUUGUAAACCUCUUUUAGCAGGGAAGAAGCGAGAGUGACGGUACCUGCAGAAAAAGCACCGGCUAACUACGUGCCAGCAGCCGCGGUAAUACGUAGGGUGCAAGCGUUGUCCGGAAUUAUUGGGCGUAAAGAGCUCGUAGGCGGUUUGUCACGUCUGCUGUGAAAACCCGAGGCUCAACCUCGGGCUUGCAGUGGGUACGGGCAGACUAGAGUGCGGUAGGGGAGAUUGGAAUUCCUGGUGUAGCGGUGGAAUGCGCAGAUAUC
RNAcentral lists this ribosomal RNA (630 nucleotides) under unidentified microorganism. RNAcentral's name for it is "bacterial SSU rRNA". It matches the Rfam family "Bacterial small subunit ribosomal RNA", at positions 53 to 698 of the family's 1533-position model. The record is from RNAcentral.